GGUAACGUGGGGCGGGGGACGGGAGUAGUAGGGAGGUUGGAGGCGGUCCUGGUGUUGACUGGGCUGAAAGGGUGCGUGUGUGGGUUGUGAGGUCUGAGGCGAAAGCCCUGGGCUCAACCUGGGAAUUGCAGUGGAUACUGGCAUGCUAGAGUGCGGUAGAGGGUAGUGGAAUUCACGGUGUAGCAGUGAAAUGCGUAGUGAUCGGGAGGAACAUCCGUGGCGAAGGCGACUACCUGGACCAGUACUGACACUGAGGCACGAAAGCGUGGGGAGCAAACAGGAUUAGAUACCCGUGUAGUC
RNAcentral lists this ribosomal RNA (300 nucleotides) under uncultured Isosphaera sp. RNAcentral's name for it is "partial 16S ribosomal RNA". The stretch from base 55 to 300 matches the Rfam family "Bacterial small subunit ribosomal RNA", at positions 550 to 795 of the family's 1533-position model. The record is from RNAcentral. Lineage: Bacteria; Pseudomonadati; Planctomycetota; Planctomycetia; Isosphaerales; Isosphaeraceae.